AGGACGAACGCUGGCGGCGCGCCUAACACAUGCAAGUCGAACGGAGAUCGUUGGAAGCUUGCUUCUGAUGAUCUUAGUGGCGGACGGGUGAGUAACACGUGAGCAACCUGCCUUUCAGAGGGGAUAACGUUUGGAAACGAACGCUAAUACCGCAUAACGUAUUUGGACCGCAUGAUCCGGAUACCAAAGGAGCAAUCCGCUGAAAGAUGGGCUCGCGUCUGAUUAGAUAGUUGGUGGGGUAACGGCCCACCAAGGCGACGAUCGGUAGCUGGUCUGAGAGGACGAUCAGCCACACUGGGACUGAGACACGGCCCAGACUCCUACGGGAGGCAGCAGUGGGGAAUUUUCCGCAAUGGGCGAAAGCUUGACGGAGC
This 374-nucleotide ribosomal RNA is filed under the name uncultured bacterium. Its description in RNAcentral is "bacterial SSU rRNA". It matches the Rfam family "Bacterial small subunit ribosomal RNA", at positions 26 to 392 of the family's 1533-position model. The record is from RNAcentral.